Molecule: ribosomal RNA, 2906 nt
Filed under: Enterobacter kobei
Lineage: Bacteria; Pseudomonadati; Pseudomonadota; Gammaproteobacteria; Enterobacterales; Enterobacteriaceae
Description: 23S ribosomal RNA
Rfam family: Bacterial large subunit ribosomal RNA
Source: RNAcentral
GGUUAAGCGACUAAGCGUACACGGUGGAUGCCCUGGCAGUCAGAGGCGAUGAAGGACGUGCUAAUCUGCGAAAAGCGCCGGCGAGGUGAUAUGAACCUUUGACCCGGCGAUGUCCGAAUGGGGAAACCCAGUGUGAUUCGUCACACUAUCGUUAACUGAAUACAUAGGUUAACGAGGCGAACCGGGGGAACUGAAACAUCUAAGUACCCCGAGGAAAAGAAAUCAACCGAGAUUCCCCCAGUAGCGGCGAGCGAACGGGGAGCAGCCCGGAGUCUGAAUCAGCUUGUGUGUUAGUGGAACGGUCUGGAAAGUCCGACGGUACAGGGUGAUAGUCCCGUACACGAAAAUGCACAGGUUGUGAACUCGAAGAGUAGGGCGGGACACGUGGUAUCCUGUCUGAAUAUGGGGGGACCAUCCUCCAAGGCUAAAUACUCCUGACUGACCGAUAGUGAACCAGUACCGUGAGGGAAAGGCGAAAAGAACCCCGGCGAGGGGAGUGAAAAAGAACCUGAAACCGUGUACGUACAAGCAGUGGGAGCCUACUUGUUAGGUGACUGCGUACCUUUUGUAUAAUGGGUCAGCGACUUAUAUUCUGUAGCAAGGUUAACCGUAUAGGGGAGCCGAAGGGAAACCGAGUCUUAACUGGGCGUUAAGUUGCAGGGUAUAGACCCGAAACCCGGUGAUCUAGCCAUGGGCAGGUUGAAGGUUGGGUAACACUAACUGGAGGACCGAACCGACUAAUGUUGAAAAAUUAGCGGAUGACCUGUGGCUGGGGGUGAAAGGCCAAUCAAACCGGGAGAUAGCUGGUUCUCCCCGAAAGCUAUUUAGGUAGCGCCUCGUGAACUCAUCUUCGGGGGUAGAGCACUGUUUCGGCUAGGGGGCCAUCCCGGCUUACCAACCCGAUGCAAACUACGAAUACCGAAGAAUGUUAUCACGGGAGACACACGGCGGGUGCUAACGUCCGUCGUGAAGAGGGAAACAACCCAGACCGCCAGCUAAGGUCCCAAAGUCAUGGUUAAGUGGGAAACGAUGUGGGAAGGCACAGACAGCCAGGAUGUUGGCUUAGAAGCAGCCAUCAUUUAAAGAAAGCGUAAUAGCUCACUGGUCGAGUCGGCCUGCGCGGAAGAUGUAACGGGGCUAAACCAUGCACCGAAGCUGCGGCAGCGACGCUUAUGCGUUGUUGGGUAGGGGAGCGUUCUGUAAGCCGUUGAAGGUGGCCUGUGAGGGUUGCUGGAGGUAUCAGAAGUGCGAAUGCUGACAUAAGUAACGAUAAAGCGGGUGAAAAGCCCGCUCGCCGGAAGACCAAGGGUUCCUGUCCAACGUUAAUCGGGGCAGGGUGAGUCGACCCCUAAGGCGAGGCCGAAAGGCGUAGUCGAUGGGAAACAGGUUAAUAUUCCUGUACUUGGUGUUACUGCGAAGGGGGGACGGAGAAGGCUAUGUUAGCCGGGCGACGGUUGUCCCGGUUUAAGCAUGUAGGCGGAGGUUCCAGGUAAAUCCGGUACCUUUUUAACGCUGAGGUGUGAUGACGAGGCACUACGGUGCUGAAGUAACAAAUGCCCUGCUUCCAGGAAAAGCCUCUAAGCAUCAGGUAACACGAAAUCGUACCCCAAACCGACACAGGUGGUCAGGUAGAGAAUACCAAGGCGCUUGAGAGAACUCGGGUGAAGGAACUAGGCAAAAUGGUGCCGUAACUUCGGGAGAAGGCACGCUGAUAUGUAGGUGAAGCCCCUGCGGGUGGAGCUGAAAUCAGUCGAAGAUACCAGCUGGCUGCAACUGUUUAUUAAAAACACAGCACUGUGCAAACACGAAAGUGGACGUAUACGGUGUGACGCCUGCCCGGUGCCGGAAGGUUAAUUGAUGGGGUUAGCGGUAACGCGAAGCUCUUGAUCGAAGCCCCGGUAAACGGCGGCCGUAACUAUAACGGUCCUAAGGUAGCGAAAUUCCUUGUCGGGUAAGUUCCGACCUGCACGAAUGGCGUAAUGAUGGCCAGGCUGUCUCCACCCGAGACUCAGUGAAAUUGAACUCGCUGUGAAGAUGCAGUGUACCCGCGGCAAGACGGAAAGACCCCGUGAACCUUUACUAUAGCUUGACACUGAACACUGGUCCUUGAUGUGUAGGAUAGGUGGGAGGCUUUGAAGCGUGGACGCCAGUCUGCGUGGAGCCGACCUUGAAAUACCACCCUUUAAUGGCUGGUGUUCUAACGUAGACCCGUAAUCCGGGUUGCGGACAGUGUCUGGUGGGUAGUUUGACUGGGGCGGUCUCCUCCCAAAGAGUAACGGAGGAGCACGAAGGUUAGCUAAUCCUGGUCGGACAUCAGGAGGUUAGUGCAAUGGCAUAAGCUAGCUUGACUGCGAGAGUGACGGCUCGAGCAGGUGCGAAAGCAGGUCAUAGUGAUCCGGUGGUUCUGAAUGGAAGGGCCAUCGCUCAACGGAUAAAAGGUACUCCGGGGAUAACAGGCUGAUACCGCCCAAGAGUUCAUAUCGACGGCGGUGUUUGGCACCUCGAUGUCGGCUCAUCACAUCCUGGGGCUGAAGUAGGUCCCAAGGGUAUGGCUGUUCGCCAUUUAAAGUGGUACGCGAGCUGGGUUUAGAACGUCGUGAGACAGUUCGGUCCCUAUCUGCCGUGGGCGCUGGAGAAUUGAGGGGGGCUGCUCCUAGUACGAGAGGACCGGAGUGGACGCAUCACUGGUGUUCGGGUUGUCAUGCCAAUGGCACUGCCCGGUAGCUAAAUGCGGAAGAGAUAAGUGCUGAAAGCAUCUAAGCACGAAACUUGCCCCGAGAUGAGUUCUCCCUGAGACUUUAAGUCUCCUGAAGGAACGUUGAAGACGACGACGUUGAUAGGUCGGGUGUGUAAGCGCAGCGAUGCGUUGAGCUAACCGAUACUAAUGAACCGUGAGGCUUAACCUU